UAGGGAAUCUUCGGCAAUGGACGAAAGUCUGACCGAGCAACGCCGCGUGAGUGAAGAAGGGUUUCGGAUCGUAAAACUCUGUUGUUAGAGAAGAACAAGGACGUUAGUAACUGAACGUCCCCUGACGGUAUCUAACCAGAAAGCCACGGCUAACUACGUGCCAGCAGCCGCGGUAAUACGUAGGUUGCAAGCGUUGUCCGGAUUUAUUGGGCGUAAAGCGAGCGCAGGCGGUUUCUUAAGUCUGAUGUGAAAGCCCCCGGCUCAACCGGGGAGGGUCAUUGGAAACUGGGAGACUUGAGUGCAGAAGAGGAGAGUGGAAUUCCAUGUGUAGCGGUGAAAUGCGUAGAUAUAUGGAGGAACACCAGUGGCGAAGGCGGCUCUCUGGUCUGUAACUGACGCUGAGGCUCGAAAGCGUGGGGAGCAAACAGG
RNAcentral lists this ribosomal RNA (429 nucleotides) under Gemmatimonadota bacterium. RNAcentral's name for it is "Gemmatimonadetes bacterium partial 16S ribosomal RNA". It matches the Rfam family "Bacterial small subunit ribosomal RNA", at positions 355 to 776 of the family's 1533-position model. The record is from RNAcentral. Lineage: Bacteria; Pseudomonadati; Gemmatimonadota.